Molecule: ribosomal RNA, 253 nt
Filed under: uncultured bacterium
Lineage: Bacteria
Description: partial 16S ribosomal RNA
Rfam family: Bacterial small subunit ribosomal RNA
Source: RNAcentral
UACGUAGGUGGCAAGCGUUGUUCGGAAUUACUGGGCGUAAAGGGCGCGUAGGCGGCCUUCUAAGUCGAACGUGAAAUCCCCGGGCUCAACCCGGGAACUGCGUCCGAUACUGGAAAGCUUGAAUCCGGGAGAGGGAUGCGGAAUUCCAGGUGUAGCGGUGAAAUGCGUAGAUAUCUGGAGGAACACCGGUGGCGAAGGCGGCAUCCUGGACCGGCAUUGACGCUGAGGCGCGAAAGCCAGGGGAGCAAACGGG